AGUUCUGAGCUAAAUAUAUUUAUAAUAUUAGUUAUUCAUGAAGGUGUUGUAAAAUCUUUAUUUAAAAUUAUAUUUAGGGGUGAUAGGCCUUUCAAAAACUAAGAUAUCUUGAAUCUAAUUAAAAGUAUGUAGUACAAUUAACACAACUAUUAAGUGAUUAGGCUUUAUAGAAUUAUUAACUUAUAAGAUUUUAUUUACUAUAAUUUAAUAAUUAAGUACAUAAAUAUAUUAAUAUUCAUAUAUUAUAGUUUAUAAAAGAGUAAUUAGAUAGAUUUAAGUUCAUAUUUCUUAUAAUAAUGUUAAUAUUAGUAUUAAGUUUAUAUUUAUAUGAUGAACUCGGCAAAAAUACUUUCUCAACUGUUUAUCAAAAACAUAACUAUGUGAUUGAAUACAUAGCGGUUUCUGCUCAA
Molecule: ribosomal RNA, 410 nt
Filed under: Mandarina aureola
Lineage: Eukaryota; Metazoa; Mollusca; Gastropoda; Stylommatophora; Camaenidae
Description: partial 16S ribosomal RNA
Source: RNAcentral